Non-coding RNA from Beta vulgaris subsp. vulgaris (sugar beet), 102 nucleotides. The record is from Rfam. NCBI's taxonomy places the organism in Eukaryota, Viridiplantae, Streptophyta, Magnoliopsida, Caryophyllales, Amaranthaceae.
AAACCAUGAUGAGGACAAAGGCUGCAGAUCCUUGAAUCUUUCCCAAGUUUCAUACAAUGACUCUCCAAGAUCUUGGGUGAAAGUCACUAUCUCAUGACGCAU